Molecule: ribosomal RNA, 254 nt
Filed under: uncultured bacterium
Lineage: Bacteria
Description: partial 16S ribosomal RNA
Rfam family: Bacterial small subunit ribosomal RNA
Source: RNAcentral
UACGGGGGGAGCAAGCGUUGUUCGGAUUUACUGGGCGUAAAGGGCGCGUAGGCGGCCACUGCAAGCCGGUUGUGAAAUCUCCGGGCUUAACCCGGAAAGGUCAAUCGAUACUGCAGGGCUAGAGUGCAGAAGGGGCAACUGGAAUUCUCGGUGUAGCGGUGAAAUGCGUAGAUAUCGAGAGGAACACCUGCGGCGAAGGCGGGUUGCUGGGCUGACACUGACGCUGAAGCGCGAAAGCUAGGGGAGCGAACGGG